Non-coding RNA from Vicugna pacos (alpaca), 1049 nucleotides. Lineage: Eukaryota; Metazoa; Chordata; Mammalia; Artiodactyla; Camelidae. The record is from RefSeq and is a predicted model, not a curated record.
CCUUGGUGUAACCGGGAGUGGCUACAACGUGCAGACCCUCAGAGUCGAGUCGCUCGGCGGCAGGCGGGAGGGCAACUCCAUCAGGGUCCCCUCCCAGGACUUGCCACCGCAGCCGGAGGGAAAGAGUGGUGAUGGGACAGGAGUAACGAGCUCGUGAGAGGGUGGGCCCCAGAUGCCCCAGGUGUGGCUCGGUGGGGAGUGGGUGGGGUUUGCCCUGGGUGCCCCCAGACUGCUGGCAGCUCCCUGCCUGGCCCUUCCCAUGUGGCCCUGGACCAUCUCCACCCCAACCCUGCCUGGCCCGGCAAAGGACGGGGCAGGGGGCCCACACAGCUGAAGGCUCAGAAGCAGGGGGAGUGUGAUGUCUGUGUGAGGUGGCCCCCACAGCUGGAAAUGGGUCGGGGGCCGGGUGGGCAGAUCCCGGCCGGGCCUUCCAGCACCUGCCCUUCUCCAGGGCCUCAGUGCUGCUGACAGACGGACUGCCAUGUGGAUUGAGUUCCUUGGAGCGGAAACACACCACAUUUUUUCCACAUAUUGAGCAACACCCAGUUCUGAUUCUCCAGCUAAGAUUUCCACGUGUUCCUCUGGGCUUGGCUGUUACAAUGUUGCAAAGGCAGCUGAAAUGGAACAAAGGAUCAUUGGUUCAGUCCUUUCAAGAAGCCGAGGCCAAGAAGAGAUCAGAUGCGCAGGAGUCACAGGGGACGCCACAGGAGGACAGAGGGAGAGGCAGCAGGAGGCGAGGUCAGCCCACAGGCUGGGAUGCUGGUCUGACACCUGUGACAGGAGAGGAAGACCAGGCAGGCAGGAGGUUUAAGGGCCAAUGGCUCUGUUGGAGAGGGUCCCACAGCCUCAGGACCUGGCCUCGGUCAGACCCCAGGUGCUCAGUCACUGGCUGGGAGCUGCCCACAAAUAUCAGCUCCCCAGGGCAAGGACUUCCUCUGUGGCACCACCUCCUGCCCCAGACACACAGCCAGACACCCGGCCAGUGCCAAGGUGGCUGUGGAAGAAAAUGAUGUUGGCGGGCAGAUCUCAGCUUGACAACAUAUCGCACU